GUGUCAGCAGCCGCGGUAAUACGGAGGUCCCAAGCGUUGUUCGGAAUUACUGGGCGUAAAGGGAGCGCAGGCGGACGGGUCAGUCUGAAGUGGAAAUCCGGGGCUCAACCUCGGACUUGCUUCGGAUACUGCCCGUCUUGAGUUCGUGAGAGGAUGAUGGAAUUCAGGGUGUAGCGGUGAAAUGCUCAGAUAUCCUGAGGAACACCUGUGGCGAAAGCGGUCAUCUGGCGCGAAACUGACGCUGAGGCUCGAAAGCGUGGGGAGCAAACGGGAUUAGAUACCCCAGUAGUCC
RNAcentral lists this ribosomal RNA (292 nucleotides) under uncultured bacterium. RNAcentral describes it as "partial 16S ribosomal RNA". It matches the Rfam family "Bacterial small subunit ribosomal RNA", at positions 505 to 796 of the family's 1533-position model. The record is from RNAcentral.